UACGUAGGGUGCGAGCGUUGUCCGGAAUUAUUGGGCCUAAAGGGCUCGUAGGCGGUUUGUCGCGUCGGGAGUGAAAACCCAGGGCUUAACCCUGGGCUGGCUUCCGAUACGGGCAGACUAGAGGUAUGCAGGGGAGAACGGAAUUCCUGGUGUAGCGGUGAAAUGCGCAGAUAUCAGGAGGAACACCGGUGGCGAAGGCGGUUCUCUGGGCAUUACCUGACGCUGAGGAGCGAAAGUGUGGGGAGCGAACAGG
This 253-nucleotide ribosomal RNA is filed under the name uncultured bacterium. RNAcentral describes it as "partial 16S ribosomal RNA". It matches the Rfam family "Bacterial small subunit ribosomal RNA", at positions 524 to 776 of the family's 1533-position model. The record is from RNAcentral.